UUAUGUUCUUUCUUCUUCUUUCUUUCAAUCGAUUUCAAGUCAAAGAAGCGAUCUUGAGUUGAUGUGAAUGUUUUGUUGAAGCUGUAUAGAUGAUCAAGGAGAUGUAGUUUCUGUUAAUUGUGAAGAAGAAGUUGGUGUUGAUGAAGAAUCGAUGAAAGUUAAUCUGUAUUAACAACGAUCUAUCCAAAGGAUGAACCUGUGGAUUAUGGAUUUCAAGGUAUGCGAGGCUUGUCAUCAAAAGAGUUUCAGAGACAUAUCAAGAUGUGCACGUGG
This is a long non-coding RNA of Papaver somniferum (opium poppy), 273 nucleotides long. RefSeq lists it as uncharacterized. The record is from RefSeq and is a predicted model, not a curated record. The transcript has 3 exons. NCBI's taxonomy places the organism in Eukaryota, Viridiplantae, Streptophyta, Magnoliopsida, Ranunculales, Papaveraceae.